UGGGGAAUAUUGGACAAUGGGCGCAAGCCUGAUCCAGCCAUGCCGCGUGUGUGAAGAAGGCCUUAUGGUUGUAAAGCACUUUAAGCGAGGAGGAGGCUACUUUAGUUAAUACCUAGAGAUAGUGGACGUUACUCGCAGAAUAAGCACCGGCUAACUCUGUGCCAGCAGCCGCGGUAAUACAGAGGGUGCAAGCGUUAAUCGGACUUACUGGGCGUAAAGCGCGCGUAGGUGGUUCGUUAAGUUGAAUGUGAAAGCCCCGGGCUCAACCUGGGAACUGCAUCCAAAGCUGGCGAGCUAGAGUAGGGCAGAGGGUGGUGGAAUUUCCUGUGUAGCGGUGAAAUGCGUAGAUAUAGGAAGGAACACCAGUGGCGCAGGCGACCACCUGGGCUCAUACUGACACUGAGGUGCGAAAGCGUGGGGAGCAAACAGG
Molecule: ribosomal RNA, 430 nt
Filed under: Pseudomonadota bacterium
Lineage: Bacteria; Pseudomonadati; Pseudomonadota
Description: Proteobacteria bacterium partial 16S ribosomal RNA
Rfam family: Bacterial small subunit ribosomal RNA
Source: RNAcentral